Long non-coding RNA from Hemicordylus capensis (graceful crag lizard), 12285 nucleotides. RefSeq lists it as uncharacterized. NCBI's taxonomy places the organism in Eukaryota, Metazoa, Chordata, Lepidosauria, Squamata, Cordylidae. The transcript is spliced from 2 exons. The record is from RefSeq and is a predicted model, not a curated record.
CAGUAAUAGUUGUUCGUACUGACGAUUUCUUCUGCUACUUUGAUCCCAUUGCCUUGAUUCUGUGGGGAGGCUGGGCGGGUAUUAUGAAUACAACAGAUCACCUCCAGAUCAUCUGUUCCAGGUGAACAACCUGCUUAUCUGGAUAGUGAUCCGUUACAUUCAUAACAAAUGGGUGAUAAGCCAGCUCCCAGUUUUGGCGGUGGGUCAUCAAGGCAGGACUCUUAAGAACACUACGGCCAAAUUCCGCAUCCUUUGACUGCUGAAUGUCCAGAGCAUAAUGCUUCACAAAUGGAUGACAUGUUGUCCAAAUAGCUGCCUUACAGAUAUCUGGCAUUGGCACCUCUGCCAAAUUCGCAGCCGAUGCCACAUAAGCUCUUGUAGAAUGUGCUCUUAUAGAUCCUGGCAGCCUUAUGCUUUGAAAGCUGUAUGCUAGCCUUAUAGCUUGUAUGAUCCACUGAGAAAAUCGCUGUCGUGUAACCGAUGAGCCUUUAGCUUUUCCCCCCCGAUAAAGCACAAACAAUUUGUUCGUUCUCCUUAUCGAUUUAGUAGCCUGUAUAUAGUGCAACAAUGCUUUCCUCACAUCCAAAGAAUGCAUCUUUACUUCCAACUGUAUUUGAGGGCCCUGGAAGAACGCCGGUAGCACAAUAUCCUCAUUUAUAUGAAAAUCUGUGACCACUUUAGGCCUGAAUUUUGGAUCCAAGUGCAUUACGACCUUCUGUGGGUAAAUUUGGGUAUAAGGGCGGUCAGCACGCAUCACUGCUAACUCGCUUACCCUAUGAGCCGACGUCACUGCAACUAAGAAUGCUGUCUUUAAUGUCACUAUCCUCAACGCAGCCGCCGCCAGAGAUUCAAACGGUUCCUCUGUCAUUGCGUUCAAAACUAACAUCAGGUCCCAUUGUUGCACGGGCCGCCUAACCGGCGGGUACAAAUUAUUUACCCCUUUCAGGAACUUUUUACUCUCGGGAUGCAAAAACACUGUUGUACCAUCCCAGCCCUUAUGCUCUGCCGAUAUCGCCGCUAGGUGCACAUGGAGAGAUGCAUUUGCCAAACCAGACAUUUUCAAGGUCGUCAUAUACAGUAGAACCUGCUUGACUGUCGCUUUCCUUGGGAAGAACCCCUUCUACCUUGCAUAGACCUUGUAUCUCUGCCAUUUACUUGUAUAAUUGCGCCUGGUCGAGCGCUUUCUACUAUUAAGUAGUAUUUUACUCAUCAACCUAUUUGCCAAGCUAUCAACCUCAGCGUGUGAAGUUGAGGGUGUAAUAUCAACCCCCGGUCCCUGCUUAACAAGUCCGGGUAAUCUGGAAAUUGGUGAUACUGGCCGCGGGACAGCUUUAGCAGAAGUGCAAACCAUGGUUGCCUUGGCCACCACGGAGUCACUAGGAUCCCCUUCGUCCCAUCUCGGAGUAUCUGUGACAACACCUGGGAGAUCAGUGGUUGAGGAGAAAACAUAUAGAAAGGGCCCUUUGCCCAGAGAUGCUGGAAAGCAUCGCCCAGUGAGUUCUCGCCAUGUCCUGCACGCGAACAAAACCUCUGACAUUUUCUGUUCACAGCAGUAGCAAACAAGUCUAUCUUUGGCCAGCCCCAUUUCUUGAACACUGGCCGUAGGUAAAUUUCGUUUAUCCCCCCACUCGUGAUGCUGGUUCAGCUGUAAGCUGCGGCUCAGCUCGUCCGCCUGGACAUUGUCUUCUCCCCUGAUAUGCAACGCCAUGGGGAGUAUGUCGUGUGCAAUACACCACAUCCAAAGACGCUUGCUCAGUUGACACAGGGACCGGGACACUGUCCCUCCUUGCUUGUUCAAGUAUGCAAUGGCGGUUGUAUUGUCGAGAUUUAUCUGUACCAUUUCUCCCUGCAGCUGGGGUCUGAAAGCCUUCAACACCAACAACACAGCCUGGAGUUCCAGGUAAUUUAUAUGCUUUCGCCUCUGCUCCGGGGUCCACUGUCCCUGGACCUGAUGAUGGCCACCGAGUGCCCCCCAACCCCAAAGGGAGACGUCCGUCAUAACCCAAUGUGACGGCGUCCUGGGUUGGAAUAUUACCCGUUUGAAGAUUGUUGCGCUGGAUCCACCAUUGAAGUGAUUCCAACACAUAAUCCGGGAUGAGCAACAGCUUCUUCUGGUUGUCUAAAUUUGGAUGAAAACUGCGCAGGUACCAUAACUGAAGGUUGCGCAUGUGUAGACGGGUAUAGGCUACAGUGGAGUUGCAGGAAGCCAUCAACCCCAGCAGCCUCUGAAUGGACUCAGCCGGCUGCCGCGGCAUCCUCUCAAACAAUAGCACAAGGUCUCUGAUCUGCUGGAAUCUGGACUCCGGCAAGUACGCUCUCUUUUCUUCAAAAUUCAGCACCGCACCUAUAAAGUCCACCUGCCUUUGUGGGCUCAAUUUUGAUUUUUUCCAAUUCACAUUGAUUCCCAACGUGCUCAGGAGUUGUAGGACCAGCUGAAUCUGAGAAAGUAACUUUUCUCUGUCGUUGUUCACUAGAAGCCAGUCGUCCAAAAAAGGAUAUAACAUUACACCCCUUGUUCUUAAGAAUGCUACGACGACUGCCAUCACUUUUGUAAACAUGCGUGGGGCCGUAGAGAGAACGAACGGCAAAACCAUGUACUGGUAUGCUAUAUCGCCCACUGUGAAGCGAAGGUACUUUUGGUGCCUUUCGCAGAUCCCCACGUGAAAACAGGCGUCCUUCAGAUCCAGAGUGAUGGCCCACUCUUCGUUCACCAGGAGCUGCAGAAUUCCCUGCAAAGUGAUCAUUCUGAAUUUCUUCGUAUCCACAUAACAGUUUAGAUCUCUUAAGUCCAUUAUCGCCCGUAUCCCACCAUCCUUCUUGGGGAUUUGAAAAUACCUGGAGUAAAACCCCUUCAGUCUGUCCAUCCACGGCACUCGCACUAUUGCCUGUUUCUCUAGUAACACCUCUACCUCCUCUCGCAACACCUGAGUUGACCUGGUGUACUUCACACCCUGAAAAGCUGGCAAAAGCUUUGAACUCUAUCGCGUAACCAAAGUUUAUGAUUUUCAGUACCCACUGAUCUGAUGUUAUGUUGUGCCACGCUUUGGCAUGGCGUGCCAAUUUGAUGGAAACAUUGGCUAACACGAGGCUGGUGUUGGGAGCCUCAGGUACUGAACUUGGUGUUACUAUGUGCUUUUGCUGUGGAUGGACCUGUACUUCAACAAGACUGCUUUGACUGUUCCUUGGUUGCCUUUUGUCCCUUUGACUUUUGGUAAUAGGGCUUAUUCCUUUGGUAAGGUCUGUUCCGUCUCCUGUACUCCUGAGUCCUGAGUUUCUAUCCUGUUUAUAAGAAUAACGGUUUUGUUGCCUUCCAUAGGAACGACUACGGGAUUGCUGACCAGUCGAAGAUGUAGCUGCCAUGAAGGACUUAGCUGUGAACUUCAUCUUCUUCCACGAUUCCAUUGUCCCAUCUGUUGACUCUGCAAAUAGUCCUUUCCCAUCAAAGGGCAAGUGCUCUAUCUUAUCUUUCAUUUCUGGUUGCAAAUUUGUUGACCUGAGCCACGCAUGGCGCCGCAAGGUAAUGGCUGUGGCCAUGGCGCGCAACUCAGUCUCAGCCAGAUGCUUAGAAGUACUAAGCAAAUGCCUAGUAACUACAGGCGUUUUCUCAUAGGUCUGUGCCAGCGCCUUCUGCAAAUAAUCAGAGGACAUUGAGGACGAGUCCUGGAAGAACGUGUCCCAAAGAUGGUGCAUGUAUCGUGUCAUACAGGCAGAAUAAUUCGCUAUUUUGACAGCGAGACUAGAAGUGGAAUACACCCUCCGCCCAAAAACAUUGAGCUUUCUACCCUCUUUGUCGGCGGGGGUAGUGUGACACUGACCACCCUUCGUUGACGCACACUCCACCACUAUGGAGUUUGGAUCUGGAUGCCAUACAAGAUAAGUGUUCUCAUCCUCUUGCACCCAAUAUAAAACUUCCAACUUCCUCGAGGUGGCCGUGGAUGUCCACAGAACCUCCCACGCAGACUGCGCUGCCUUCGAUAUAGCUGGAAUCACUGGAAGGGAUACAGGGGUAAAACAAUACGUAGUCCUUUAAAACAGUCCAAUGUCUAGCACCAAAACGUUAUUCCGAAUCCGUUCCAAGUCGUACACCGUAAUAUCAAGAAAAAGACUUUCGAGGAGCAAUCUGAUCCGAGGUUUAGACGCAAUGGCUGUCUAAAAGAAACUGAGGAAGACACACCCCAACUGCCUUAUUUAACGAAGGCACGAUCACAUGCAGGGCAGUUGGAGGCGGCACAAGGAGCUAGUCAAUUGGUCCGCGAGGUCCCUGCGCAGGUGCAGAACCCAUUCUUUAUGAAUGCAACGGAUCACUAUCCAGAUCUACCAGAUUUACAAGACUGAAUCCUAAGAAAUGCAAGCAGGCAUGAGCUCAUGAAAACAGAGCCUUCCUGCUGCAGGCCCUGAAAACCUGUCCCUAACUAUCAGAAACAGCAUAUAAUGUACUGUUAAGGGCUGAAGUUGGAGAAAUGAAGCAUUCUCUGGAAAUCAGGAAACAAGUCUUGCACAAGAGGAAACGCUUUCCACACACGCAAGCAGCUGUUGGGAUACAAUCCAGUAUAACAGUGUUUCUUCUGUUCAGUAUAUAUGAACAUACCAUUUCUGAACAACUAAGACAUCACUGUUGAAAAUGACCUAUUAGCUGCCACUAUCUCAUAUGAAUGAUUGUAGAGACAGCAUGCCUGGUGAUUUUAUCUUCUUACGAUAACUCAAAAUAAUUGCAAAUCACACACACACAUAAAAUAUGAAGUAUCCUGUAUUUAUCCAAAUUGAAGAUGACUCCGAGUUUAAGAUGACCCCUUAGAAAGUAGAAGUUAAAUACAGGUUAUACCUGCCUUUACUCAAAAAGAAACAGGACUCUGAAUUUGAGACAACCUCCCAAUUUCUAAUAUAAAAAAACAACUUGUAAAGUCUUGGAUUCAGGUAAAUACAGUAGGCAGAUUUUUGGCACCAAGACUGGCAUACUGCCAAUUUUGUUAGACCACGUAAUAUAAUCUCCACAUCAAGUACGUACCUUUAUCCAGUUUAUACUUCAAGAUGCACAUGUCCAAGCUUGGGCAGCUGCUUAGCCUGAAUAAGUUAUGGUAUACAUGACAUAGGUGGCAAUAUUCAUAGCUAGUGCUUACGCCAAUGGUACUCAUAGUUUGUCACAACAGUCCUCUCUAAGCAUUUAAUGUGUCUCAGCCAGUGCAAGAGGUGGCUUUGAAAUCAAUUAACUGACUGCCAUGACAAAGCAUGGUGCUUCUGAAGAGUUUCUCACUUAUGCUGUACUAGUAGUGGGUACGUUUAAUUUCAACCAUUUCCCCUUUUGCUAGAAACCCUCUGUGUCAUUUGGAAAUCAUGGCUGAGGACCGUGUGAUCCUCAGGGACAUAUUUUCAGUGACACAGAGGACUUCCAGGAGAAGUGGAAGUUGUUGAAAUUUGUCACCCACCGCUAAGCUAGCAGUCUAGCUGAGUCAGAUGAGCUUUUCAGCCUCUACUUGGAUUUAACAGGCUUUGAAAGAGGUAAAGCCUUGGUAAGGAGGCUUGGAAGUCCAACAAACUUGCAUUGAGUUUACAAAGCAGGGAAUUAAUGGAGCUAUUUGUAUGAACAAAAUCAACAUUGCUAGAUUACUGUAUUAGCAGCAACGCAUUAAGAGUAUCAAAGAUUUGAAGGUGCCACAAAACUUAUUUCAAAAUAUUAAAAGACACUUCGUCUGAUGCAUGAAAUGGAUAUGUAAAUAGGCAGGUUUACACCCCAUGAAAAAAAUGAACACAAGAAUGUGAGUUUUUAAACACAAAGCGAGGUAAAAAGGUCAAGCAACAUCAAGGCAGCAGGUGUGUCACAUUACUAUGCCAACCACAAAUGUACAAGAUCCAGUCAGAGGUUGUGUGACAACUCCCAAUUCGCUGUCACUGAUGAACUGGCAAAGCAAGAUGAACAAACUGGAAGGCAGUACCUUUGGACAACUUGGAUGUUAUUUUAGAAAAAAGUUCAUAGAAAAAGUUGUCAGAAUACACAGAGCAAGUUCAGGUAAACAUUUAAAAUUUAUUAAACUUUUUGGUCAAAAUAAUUGAACAAUUAUGUACAAUCCCAUGGUAUUAGCUCUCAUGAAUUUCUUUUUUAAGGAACAAAGUCAAUCUAAUGGUUAAAUGACCUAUGCGUUCCACAUUUCAAGAUUUGCAAAUAGUGUCACAACUGAUAUACAGUAUAUGAUUUUUUAUUUAAACUUUAUAACCCCCAAAUUAGUAUUUAUUAGCUUAUCGCGAACAAGAGUGGCACUCUAUGGACGUUAAUUGACAGGGUAGGAACAGAGGCAUGUUGCUCUUGCAUAUCCAUAUCAGACUUUUCUAAUCAUAUUAAACCUUCAUUUUAUUAAAAAUGGAGUGUGAACUGUACAUCUGUAUUUUAUCCAGGAAGCUCAAAGGGCCUAAUUUCAAGGUGGGGUUUUGUAGGCACAUUUUCUAGCAAGUUUGGAGGUAGUAGUACCUAAAUCCUUGAUGCUAUUAAAAUGUGCCCAUGUCUAUUUGCGUGUACAAGUUUACACCCAGAGAAGUUACAAUGAAACAUUGGAAGUGGAUCAUGUGUUCUUUCGGAGAGAGAGAUUAAAGUGAUACUUUCCCUUAGCCCGCUAUCGCCAGUGGAAACUCAAAAGUCUACAAAUGUAUUUUCACAUCCGUAUUCAGCGCUAAGGCAGCCUGACCACCUGGUGUCGAAGAACCAGAGUAAGAGAUAAAACAUGUUUAAGUUGUGCUCCUGUUUGGCAUAAUCAAGUUUAAAAACAUACAAGCUUGAACUGAAGUGGGGAAUUUUUGUAUGCCUAUGCCCAUGCCCAGUUGAAGUUAUUUAAAUUGUAUACGCUUCAACACAAAGGACUAAAGGUACAAAAGUAAUGCACAUUAAGGCAUGUAUCUCACUUGUGAGGCAUUAACUGUUAACGAGAACAGUAAUUUUGAUGAAGGUAUUGAUAUACGAGACAAUCUUGCUCCUUUAAGGCUGUUUAAGAGCUUUAAAUUAAUCUUUUCAAUUUCCUCUUCUGUGCACACUGUGUGAUGCCUUUAAAAAAAAAACCAAAAAACCAGAAAACCAGUACAAGUUAAGGUAAUGACAACUAGAGGAAAAUUUAAAUUUAGAGUUUGAAGUAGCAGAUAUCACAUGAAACUGCUUAUACUGUCAAAAUCAAUAUUUUGGGGACAAACUAUUUUCAAAUCUUUCCAGAGUUAUUUUGCACAAUCUCAAUACAUGCAAUAAAAAAGACUGAAUACAUACUUUCAGAUUUAAAAACACUUUUUAUAGUUUGUUAUUUUAUUAAGUGGUUUACACCAGAAGGUGUGGUUAUAGAUACAGUUGGUGAGUAAAUAUACAUGAAAAACCUGUCUAUGCACCCAACUCUGGACUUACCUAUAUGCUCAAAGGUGGAAACACCCAAUGUUUAGAUGAAGGCCAGAGAAAGAAUGUUUACAGGCAUAAAGCACAAAUAUAUGUUUUGAAAGGCCCAAAUAUUACAGCAGGUAAAGAGCACGUGAGAUAGAAAUUACAUUUUUUAUGACAAUUUGUUUCUUGGGUGUUAGAUUUUUGGUCUAUCAACUGGAAAGGAAGGCUCAGACUUAAAUAAAUACAUUUGUUUUGAAUAUUGGCCUUUAUUGAGUAUUGUCCAUCAAUUCUGCUUCUAGUGGGCUUUUUUCAUUUACAAAAAUUCAAUUCCAUGUUCCCGCUCACUGAAGGCAGAAAUACACCAUGAACUCAAGUCCAGGCCAGCUUCUCUCCUUUACCUAUAAAGGGAAAUAAGUGCAUCAAUGUUCUUUACUGGGAGGACAACAAGGCCAUCUCUCUGACAGAUAAACAACUGAGCUUAACUAUGCAAGACGACACCUUUGUCCUCGAAUAAGCCGUCUUUAAUUAAUUUUGUCCUGGAAUAUAUACAAGUUAUUGGUGGCAGCUACAGCAAUGAUGUUCUCUGCAGGGUGCCAUGCUGUAUGAAGGAUCUUCUUGUUGAAGUCCAGACUGUCAACACUUAUUUCAUCUUUCUUUCUCUUGCCGCCCGUACACACUUUCCGGGGCUUUAAGAUGGCACGGGGUUUGCUACUCUCUCUUGAUGCUUCUAGUGUAAUAUCUCGCCGUGUGUUUCGAUCAAACAUCCUAAAGAAGUUGUUGUAUGAGCCAGUCAUAAUAGCGCUACAUUUUUAAAAAGAAAGAGAAGAGAGGCAACCUUUUACUUAUACUUUAGGUCUACCAGGCAAUUUCAUGUCACUCCACACAGCUCUGUCCUAUUUUUCCAUUCACACCCACAUAUAGAAUCACAUCCUAUACACCUAACCGCUUUAUCAUGAGCCGUUGUACAAAUCCAUUCUCUCUUUCAGAUAAGUCAUUUUGGAGUCCAUUAACUACUGUUCUGCUACUUUCAUACAAAUGUUUAUAGAUGUUUAAACAUGUUUGUGAAUCACCUAGAUUAUUGUACUUUAGAAUGCUAUUAAUUACUUGGGGGAAUCAGUUUCUCAGUACCUGGCUUGCUUCAUCCUGCUUGCUAGGCAUAAUAAGGAGCUGCUUAUGUUAUAUGAGUGGUUUAUCUAGAUCAAUACUUUGCAUAGUACUGGUUUUCCAGGAUCUCAAGCAAAGGUUCCUUCCCAACAACCUGAGUUGCUUUAAACCAGCAAGUAGACAGAAUUGAGAUUUUAUGCACUGUGGCAUCUAGGCUAUAUUGCACCAUACCAUACAUUAGAAGUUGUUUCAAACAGCUGUCCAUCUUUAAGUCUCUAUUCAAUUCAUAGUGUAUCACUUAUUCAAUCAGCAACCAAGUUCCAUGCUUUAACGGGGAGACACCAGGGACUGAACAUGGAACCUUUUACAUGCAAAGCACAUAUUCAUCACAUUGAGAUAUGACUCUUCAUAUGGCAGCAUAUGCUAUUGUUCCAUUGUUGGGAGCUGAACAGGACUAGAAUCUCCAUUUUUCUUUUAGAUAACUAACACCUUCUGAAUUAACUCAUAACAUAUAUCAAUGUGGACCACAUAUUUGGGAUCAGAGUUCGCUCAUCUCUCUGCUUAAACUAAACACCACAACCAUUUUCAAAUUUAAAAUGGUUAAAUUUGGACAAACCUUUAAAAUGAGCUUUAUUACAUAAAUCAGCCUUACCUAUCAGAACCAUUCCAGCAGCAUUCAAACUUGUCAAAGAUGCAGUCAUUUUCAUACAAUGAGCAAAGCUUGCUUCGAAGAUAUUCAUGAACCUUAAAACAUAUAGGCAUUGAAAAGAAUGAGAACAUCUGCCAUUUUAAAAAAGCUUAUUUAUUAUAAAGCAUGAAGACUAUACCUGAUAUGUCUCUACAGGCCUGCUUUCCAUAUUGAGAUCCCAUACUUUAACCGAAAGGUAGUCUCUGGUCAUCAUGUAUCUACCGCUGUGACUGAAUUUCACAUCUGAUAUCGAGGAAAUAAUUUCUGAAAAGAAUGACCUGCUGCUGGGAUCUUCAGGCUCCUCGAAGACUGGAAAUAUUUAAAAAGAUACAAAGGAAGGAAAGCUGUUAACAACUACAAAGGCUAACCCUUUGAUGUAAAGCUUUGCUAGACUAUUGAUUUCCAAACUGUGUGCCAUGAAAAUGGCUAAAGUGUGCCUUGCAAAGGAAUACCAUGUCUAUGUUAUGCUUGUCAGAAUGGGGAGACCCCAUACAGAACCAAUUCCAUUGCCCAAAUGGCCAAUGUAUGGGCAGUGACAUCACCCUCAAGGAUGAGAGUAAGGACACACCAAGAUUCUGUGAAGCAGCCCAUUGUACAACUUAUGUGUUAACUCAGAAGCUCUGAAAUAUAACGAUUUCCCAGAAAGCACAGUCCAGUCCCUGACUGACUUCGAAAAGGGGAGGGGUGGCAAUAUUAAUUAGCCUAAUCCCACAGUAGCAAGAUGGAUGCCUGUCAAUUGUUCUGGAAAGCAGCAAGGAAAAUUCCUAUUUGAGUGUACAGUGAAGUGUCUCCCCAAUUAUGGACUAGAAUGGUAAGACCCACAUGCCCAAGAAGAAAGCAUAUGCAUGUGCUAGCAUGAAUGCAUCAUUUUUCUUCUUCCAGCCGUACUCCCUUCUGCCACGUCAAACCUCUCUCUGGAAGAACUCUGAAUUUCAUGAGAACCUUUUCAAAGAAAGUGAGGGACUGCAGUAGGAAUUGGCUUCAAGAAAAGCUCUGGUGGAUGUGCAGUUUUCUGUGUACAGCUCCUUGGAUCCCAGCCUUAAUUCAGAUGUUGGGAGGGGGAAAUAGCACCUCAGGUAUCAAAAUAUGGAAGACACUGAUCUAAACACAUGAAUUAUCCACUUUUUGUCUAGAGGCACACACCACGGAACCUCUAAUUUUACCCGUGCUAUCCAAACAUGGAAUGAUAACUGAGUGACUCUAAACAAAUGGCUUGCAUAAAGCAGAACUCACUUUGUCAGAAAUAAGCAACAGAAAGAUGCUACUUGACUGUAUAUAUCAAUAUAUACAUACCAUAGCAACACCACUUAUAAAUGCACUAAUUCACAUAACAAAACCAUUUCAUAUUGCUAAGCUCCAGUAUCAUUUCUAUUAGUGCAAUCAAUGAAUGACAGGAAAUAACCAUUUUUUUACUUGGCCCUAUCAUCUACUCAAUUUUUUUUUUAACCACAAAUCAUGUUAAGGAUUGUUUAUUGUGAAACUACAAGUCUCCAACUUUAUUAAAUAUACUAAGAUUCUAAAUAAGAAUUCUCAAUGCUGGGAGAUACUAUAGAGUAAUAAUUUAUUUAUGACAGUCUACAAUGAACCACAAGAGAGUAUGAUCAAAACUUUAGGUUUGCGCAUUUUAAUUAUGAACGCAGUCAUUACAGAUAUGCAUAAACAGAAUUAUCUAAUUAAAAGAAAGAAGCUUCAAAUGUUUUGAUUACAUCCAGCAAAGGUAGGUAAACAGAAAAGAACUUUUAUGUCAUAUCAAUAGUUUGACCAUUUUAUGUCAAACUAGCCCACUAUAUUUGAAGUAGCUGUCUCAUUUUCACUGUGUCCAACUGUAUUAUGCUUAGAGAUGUUAACGUGAUUCCUUAAAAAUUAUGGCGUUUUGCCUUGGAAACUAGCUUCAAAUGGCCACAAAUGAAAUGGAUCCUAUCAAUCUCAGCCCAGUUGCUAAACCACAAACAUCUACUGCAUGUUCACACAUAUUUAAAAAUAUUAUUUUCUUGCAAGCAGAAGGGUGUGUGUGUGUGUGUGGGGACACAAAUUGCACCGCCACCCCAUUUCUCCUCCUGCAUCCCCUGCCAUCCCAUUCUUCUCCCCCCGCACCCACAGCCACCCCCAUUUCUCUCUCUGCUGCCCACACCACCAGGGCAGCAUUCCUCAUUCAGGUUUUCACUGGUCACUUUCCCUGGGAAGGAAAGCCCGGCAUCCCCUUGCUCCUACAUGCCUGCCUAGAAUCUCUGCAGCAGAAGAUGGUGCAGGGAGCAGCUGCGUGUGGGCUUUCCAUUUAACUUUUAAAAAUGACACUAUCAAUUGCAGGCUCUAGGCAGGUGUGGGCUCUUCUCGUGGGUGGGUUAUAUGUAAAAUAAAAACAAAAUAGUCUUGGCAUUAUUAAAACAGUUAUCUUUGAAAAACACCAAGACCAAGUCUGUACAGAAGACAGAAUCUUCAAAGCCCUAUUCAGACAUUGCACUGUACAUGUGUACAGGUGUCUGUAAUAUUGUUGUAACAACAACAUAUGUGUGUGUUAAUGACUGUACAUCAGGGCUGCUCAACUUCAGCCCUUCUGCAGAUGUUGGCCUGCAACUCCCAUAACCCCUGGCUAUUGGCCAAUGUGGCUGGGGAUUAUGAGAAUUGUAGUCCAAAAACAGCUGGGGGGGCCUAAGUUGAGCAGGCCCGCUGUACGUGCACUCAUUUUAAAACUGAAGCUGGGUAGAGGCUUCCUCAAAUGCAGGGUGCAGUUAGGAAAAGUAUUAUUCUACAUGCUUUGAACAUACUGUGUGAAUAACUGUAUGUGCAUAGAGAUUUGAACACAGCGUCCACUUGUUGGAUAUGCUGUUGCCAUACUUAGAAUAGGACACAAUAUGGUAUGAGAUUUAACACCAUUCUGUAUUAUGCACACAAUUCUGCUGUCUUACCACCUUUAUACUCAGUAUCAUGUUGAUACCAGUGUUGACUAAUUUUUAUAUAUAAUUUUAUGUUUAUAGUCUUCAUUUUUAGCUUCUUCCACUCACUAUACUAUGUUUUAGGUAAUUUUAUAGAGAUCCCCUAUUACCUUGUAGGAAUAGAUUGUCUUGACUGUUUUUUGUUUUGUUUUUUUUACUUUGGUGUUAUGCUGGUCAAAGACCAAAAUAAAGAUUUGACUUGAUUUGAAUAUGCA